GACGAACGCUGGCGGCGUGCCUAAUACAUGCAAGUCGAACGCUUCUUUCCUCCCGAGUGCUUGCACUCAAUUGGAAAGAGGAGUGGCGGACGGGUGAGUAACACGUGGGUAACCUACCCAUCAGAGGGGGAUAACACUUGGAAACAGGUGCUAAUACCGCAUAACAGUUUAUGCCGCAUGGCAUAAGAGUGAAAGGCGCUUUCGGGUGUCGCUGUUGGAUGGACCCGCGGUGCAUUAGCUAGUUGGUGAGGUAACGGCUCACCAAGGCCACGAUGCAUAGCCGACCUGAGAGGGUGAUCGGCCACACUGGGACUGAGACACGGCCCAGACUCCUACGGGAGGCAGCAGUAGGGAAUCUUCGGCAAUGGACGAAAGUCUGACCGAGCAACGCCGCGUGAGUGAAGAAGGUUUUCGGAUCGUAAAACUCUGUUGUUAGAGAAGAACAAGGACGUUAGUAACUGAACGUCCCCUGACGGUAUCUAACCAGAAAGACACGGCUAACUACGUG
This 508-nucleotide ribosomal RNA is filed under the name uncultured bacterium. Its description in RNAcentral is "partial 16S ribosomal RNA". It matches the Rfam family "Bacterial small subunit ribosomal RNA", at positions 28 to 507 of the family's 1533-position model. The record is from RNAcentral.